RNAcentral lists this ribosomal RNA (528 nucleotides) under uncultured bacterium. RNAcentral's name for it is "bacterial SSU rRNA". It matches the Rfam family "Bacterial small subunit ribosomal RNA", at positions 791 to 1319 of the family's 1533-position model. The record is from RNAcentral.
UAGUCCACGCCGUAAACGAUGGAUACUAGGUGUUUGGGGAGUUAACCCCCUGAGUACCGUAGCUAACGCAUUAAGUAUCCCGCCUGGGGAGUACGGUCGCAAGGCUAAAACUCAAAGGAAUUGACGGGGGCCCGCACAAGCGGUGGAGUAUGUGGUUUAAUUCGAAGCAACGCGCAGAACCUUACCUGGCCUUAACAUCCUCGGACGACUACAGAGAUGUAGUUUUCUCUUCGGAGACUGAGUGAUAGGUGCUGCAUGGCUGUCGUCAGCUCGUGUCGUAAGAUGUUGGGUUAAGUCCCGCAACGAGCGCAACCCUUGCCUUUAGUUGCCAUCAUUAAGUUGGGCACUCUAGAGGGACUGCCGGUGUUAAGCCGGAGGAAGGCGGGGAUGACGUCAAGUCCUCAUGGCCCUUACGGCCAGGGGCUACACACGUACUACAAUGGCAGAACAAACCGUUGCGAAGCCGCGAGGUGGAGCUAAUCGGUAAAACACUGUCCUAGUCCGGAUUGCAGUCUGCAACUCGACUGC